AAAGUCGUAACAAGGUCUCCGUAGGUGAACCUGCGGAGGGAUCAUUAAUGGAAAAAAACUUAUAUAUAGUGUUGUGAUAAAACACACACACACAAUAUACAAACAAACGAUCACUACAAACUUUUUUAAUGGGGGGAAGAAAAAAGUGUUUGCCUGAUAUCUAUACACAUUGAUUUGGAGAAAAUAACUAUACAACUUUCAACAACGGAUCUCUUGGCUCUC
Molecule: unclassified non-coding RNA, 222 nt
Filed under: Basidiomycota sp.
Lineage: Eukaryota; Fungi; Basidiomycota
Description: partial contains small subunit ribosomal RNA, internal transcribed spacer 1, and 5.8S ribosomal RNA
Rfam family: Eukaryotic small subunit ribosomal RNA (bases 1-47)
Source: RNAcentral